AUGGCGCGACCAGGCCACUCCACGGCGUGGCUCCCUCUCCUGGUGCUCCUCUUCGCGGCGGGCGCGACGGCGCAGAGCUGCCUCUCCGCGACCUUCACUGGGGGCCGGACGUUCCUCAAGUGCAACCAGCUGCCCGUGCUCGGCGCCAGCCUCCACUGGACGUACCACGCCGUGAACGGCACGGCCGACAUCGCCUUCCGGGCGCCGUCCGGCGCCGACGGCUGGGUCGGCUGGGGCAUCAACCCCAGCGGCGGCGGCAUGGCCGGCAGCAACGUGUUCAUCGCCUCGCAGACCAGCGGCGCCGUGUCCGUGCUCACCACCAUCCUCAGGAACACGACCCCCACCCUCGACAACACCGCCCUCUCCUUCGACGUGCCCGUCCCGGCCAGCGCCGAGUACGCCGGCGGCGCCUACACCAUCUACGCCACGGUGGCGCUGCCGGGCAACACCACGUCGCAGAACACGGUGUGGCAGGCCGGGCCGGUCUCCGGCGGCCGCGUCUCACAGCACUCCAUAUCGGGGCCGAACGUCCAGUCCGUCCAGAGACUCGACUUCCUCUCCGGCACCAGCACCGGCGGCUCCAACUCCAGGCUGCACCGCCGUAACCUCCACGGAGUGCUCAACGCCGUCGGAUGGGGCAUCUUGAUCCCACUCGGCGCCAUGAUCGCGCGCUACCUCCGCGUGUUCGAGGCGGCAGACCCGGCGUGGUUCUACCUCCACAUCACCUGCCAGAUCUCCGGCUACGUGCUGGGCGUCGCCGGCUGGGGCCUGGGCCUGAAGCUGGGCAGCGAGUCCAAGGGCCUCACCUACACCACCCACCGCAACAUCGGCAUCGCCAUCUUCUGCCUGGCCACACUCCAGGUGUUCGCGCUCUUCCUCAGGCCCGACAAGAAGAACAAGUACCGGGUCUACUGGAACGCCUACCACCACUCCGUCGGCUACUCCGUCAUCGUCCUCGCCGCCGUCAACAUCUUCAAGGGCCUCAACAUCCUCAAGCCGGUCACGGGCUGGAAGACGAGCUACAUCGUCAUCCUCGCCACGCUCGCCGGCGUCGCGCUCGUCCUUGAGGCCAUCACCUGGGCCAUCGUCCUGCGCCGCCGCAAGCGCAACCAGGCCUACGGCGGCGCCAACGGGACCGGCGUGCAGCUAUGA
RNAcentral lists this ribosomal RNA (1152 nucleotides) under Triticum aestivum (bread wheat). RNAcentral describes it as "partial small subunit ribosomal RNA". Lineage: Eukaryota; Viridiplantae; Streptophyta; Magnoliopsida; Poales; Poaceae. The record is from RNAcentral.